RNAcentral lists this ribosomal RNA (253 nucleotides) under uncultured bacterium. Its description in RNAcentral is "partial 16S ribosomal RNA". It matches the Rfam family "Bacterial small subunit ribosomal RNA", at positions 524 to 776 of the family's 1533-position model. The record is from RNAcentral.
UACGUAGGUGGCGAGCGUUGUCCGGAUUUCCUGGGCGUAAAGAGCGCGCAGGCGGCUGGUCAAGUCCGAUGUGAAAGCUCCCGGCUUAACUGGGAAAUUGCAUCGGAAACUGAUCGGCUGGAAGGUGGGAGAGGGUAGCGGAAUUCCCGGUGUAGUGGUGAAAUGCGUAGAUAUCGGGAGGAACACCAGUGGCGAAAGCGGCUACCUGGCCCAUUCUUGACGCUGAGGCGCGAAAGCUAGGGGAGCAAACGGG